UAAAAGUCGUAACAAGGUUUCCGUAGGUGAACCUGCGGAAGGAUCAUUAGUGAAUAUAGGACGUCCAACUUAACUUGGAGUCCGAACUCUCACUUUCUAACCCUGUGCACUUGUUUGGGAUAGUAACUCUCGCAAGAGAGCGAACUCCUAUUCACUUAUAAACACAAAGUCUAUGAAUGUAUUAAAUUUUAUAACAAAAUAAAACUUUCAACAACGGAUCUCUUGGCUCUCGCAUCGAUGAAGAACGCAGCGAAAUGCGAUAAGUAAUGUGAAUUGCAGAAUUCAGUGAAUCAUCGAAUCUUUGAACGCACCUUGCGCUCCAUGGUAUUCCGUGGAGCAUGCCUGUUUGAGUGUCAUGAAUACUUCAACCCUCCUCUUUCUUAAUGAUUGAAGAGGUGUUUGGUUUCUGAGCGCUGCUGGCCUUUACGGUCUAGCUCGUUCGUAAUGCAUUAGCAUCCGCAAUCGAACUUCGGAUUGACUUGGCGUAAUAGACUAUUCGCUGAGGAAUUCUAGUCUUCGGAUUAGAGCCGAGUUGGGUUAAAGGAAGCUUCUAAUCAGAAUGUCUACAUUUUAAGAUUAGAUCUCAAAUCAGGUAGGACUACCCGCUGAACUUAAGCAUAUCAAUA
This 626-nucleotide ribosomal RNA is filed under the name uncultured eukaryote. RNAcentral describes it as "eukaryotic LSU rRNA". The stretch from base 203 to 356 matches the Rfam family "5.8S ribosomal RNA". The record is from RNAcentral.